Molecule: long non-coding RNA, 1170 nt
Organism: Antechinus flavipes (yellow-footed antechinus)
Lineage: Eukaryota; Metazoa; Chordata; Mammalia; Dasyuromorphia; Dasyuridae
Exons: 6
Source: RefSeq, a predicted model, not a curated record
CCCGGGGCCAGGGGCCACUGAGCUGCCUAAGGAUGACUGAACAGGGUCAGAAACCGAGCAGAUCAGAGUUUCCAUUCCAGCCAGCAGGAAGAUACAACAGGGACUUUGAUUAUGAACAUCAAAUACACAUCAAGCGGGCGCGCAGUGAUCACAGGUGUUUGUUGCUACUGUGGAGAUCGUACUAAGUCGAAUCCGGAUGGAAAUGAGAUUUUCUUCAGAUGCCGGUCUUCAGGCAACCCGAGCUCCAGGCAUUUACCGUCCGGGUAUUUGUGAGUCAUGAGCAUGGACUGAAUGGCCGUCCCUUCUUGCUCGAGAGUUGGGAUCCGAUGUGCGUCCCACCUAAGUCACUUUUUCUCCCUGUAUCUCAAUUUUCCCCUCUGCACAAUGAAGGAGUUGGACCAGACGGCGUUCGUGGUAUCCCGGGGCAGCUAGGUGGUUACCCAUAAUGCAUGCUGAGUCCAUGGAGGUCACUGGCCGGCCCUGGGAGGCCACCAAAGUAUUGUGGUAAAGCCUCUAAUACAAUGGCCCAUCUGUGAAUGGACUAGAAAAGUACCACUUCCGAUGGCCAAGCGUCCAGCCUCAGCGUCCCAAGGCCUCCCGAGCAGCUGCCCGGAGAACGCUAUGUGCGUUAUUCCAAAAGAUUCAUCAAUCAACAAACAUUAACUGAGUACCUACUCUGUGCUAGACAUGGUGCUGAAGAAACAAAGACAUAUGUGAAAGAAGCCCUCGUUACAAAAAGCUUAUUUUCUUUGGGAGAAUGGCAAGACCCCAGGAUAUGACGUGCACCGAUGAUUCAAGUUGCAGUCUAUGUCAACAGAGAGAACUCCGAUACCGGAAGCUCCUCGUGUCAAUAAAAUUGCAGAUACUUCACAUAUUCAUGGUCAGAAAUUUACAUGCAUCCUUAUUAAAUUUCACUGUACUACAUCUGGUCCAUCGUACUCUCCUGUCAAGAUCAUUUUAGAUGUUUGAUGUUAUUUUCAAAAUCCCAAAUUUGAAAAGCAUGUUAGCUCUGCUUUCAGCCAAGUCACUGACAAAAAAAAAAAAAAAAAAAAAAGACAGGAAAGGGGCCCUAGGGCAUUCCAGUAAAUACCUCCCUACAGACUGACAAUGGUAUAUUAAUAACCACUUGUUGGCUUUAAUCAUUCAGUUAUUAAACCAGUAACUAGACAA